CGUGGCGGCGUGCCUAACACAUGCAAGUCGUACGAGAAAGCCGGCUUCGGCUGGUGAGUAAAGUGGCGCACGGGUGAGUAACGCGUGGAUAAUCUGCCCUUAAGUGUGGAAUAACGUACCGAAAGGUGCGCUAAUACCGCAUAAUGCCUGGCAACACAAGUUGUCCGGCCAAAGAAGGCCUCUGUUUACAAGCUUUCGCUUCAGGAUGAGUCCGCGUACCAUUAGCUUGUUGGUGGGGUAAUGGCCUACCAAGGCUGCGAUGGUUAGCUGGUCUGAGAGGAUGGCCAGCCACACUGGAACUGAGACACGGUCCAGACUCCUACGGGAGGCAGCAGUGAGGAAUCUUGCGCAAUGGGGGAAACCCUGACGCAGCAACGCCGCGUGAGUGAGGAAGGCCUUCGGGUCGUAAAGCUCUGUCAGAUGGGAAGAAAUGGAUGGGGGCUAAUAUCGCCCAUCCUUGACGGUACCAUCAGAGGAAGCACCGGCUAACUCCGUG
Molecule: ribosomal RNA, 496 nt
Filed under: uncultured bacterium
Lineage: Bacteria
Description: bacterial SSU rRNA
Rfam family: Bacterial small subunit ribosomal RNA
Source: RNAcentral